CGCCAGCCCGCUCAGAAACUCAAUGAAUUGACGGGGCCCGCACAAGCGGUGGAGUAUGUGGUUAAUCGAUGCAACGCGAAGAACCUUACCUGGUCUUGACAUCCCGGAGACCCUUAGGAAACUAGGGGGUGCUUCCAUCUGGAAGAAUCUGGAGACAGGUGCUGCAUGGCUGUCGUCAGCUCGUGUCGUGAGAUGUUGGGUUAAGUCCCGCAACGAGCGCAACCCUUGCCUUUAGUUGCCAGCAGUUCGGCUGGGCACUCUAAAGGGACUGCCGGUGUUAAACCGGAGGAAGGUGGGGAUGACGUCAAGUCCUCAUGGCCUUUAUGACCAGGGCUACACACGUACUACAAUGGCCGAUACAAAGGGCAGCGACACUGCGAGGUGAAGCCAAUCCCGUAAAAUCGGUCUCAGUCCGGAUUGGAGUCUGCAACUCGACUCCAUGAAGUUGGAAUCGCUAGUAAUCGUGGAUCAGCAUGCCACGGUGAAUACGUUCCCGGGCCUU
Molecule: ribosomal RNA, 502 nt
Filed under: uncultured Desulfobulbus sp.
Lineage: Bacteria; Pseudomonadati; Thermodesulfobacteriota; Desulfobulbia; Desulfobulbales; Desulfobulbaceae
Description: bacterial SSU rRNA
Rfam family: Bacterial small subunit ribosomal RNA
Source: RNAcentral